Molecule: ribosomal RNA, 691 nt
Filed under: Gammarus sobaegensis
Lineage: Eukaryota; Metazoa; Arthropoda; Malacostraca; Amphipoda; Gammaridae
Description: partial 28S rRNA
Rfam family: Eukaryotic large subunit ribosomal RNA
Source: RNAcentral
UAAGGCUAAAUAUAUCCACAGACCCGAUAGCGAACAAGUACCGUGAGGGAAAGUUGAAAAGCACUCUGGAGAGAGAGUCAAAAGACCGUGAAACCGCUCAGAGUAUAAGCCCAUGGCAGCUUGGAAGGCAUAUCGCUAGCGGGGCAUCAGUCUCCCUUCACGGGGAGCUGGUGUGCCUUGCUUCUGUUGUGGCUCGUCACGGUAGGGGGGUCAAGUCCACAUCCCGCCAACGUGUGGGGAGUUCUCGGGUGCGUUGAGUCAGUCGGUUUUGGUUUGGCUCUUCGUGCUUGGUUCUCUUUCAACACGGACGUUCAGACUCAGAGGCAAGACGCGAUAAACAGCCCACCACGGCUCGUUGUGAGGUCACCCACAGACUCAGCUUUGGAUUGUGGUCCUUGACGCCGAGCAAGCACAAUGCGUGUCGCAGAUGUUCCUGACCGGGGGGCCCACCCCCCGGAUGGUGGAACGACACGCGCUCAUGCGAGUCAGGACCGGGCUAUGAAAGAGUUCUGGUACGAUCCUCUUGCGACGAGCCGGCUUCUGGCCAAAUUCCGAUGUUCAGAUCUCCCGCAUGUGCCGCGGGAGAUCGCCUUGACGGUUUGGAGCUUACAGUAGUCCUCUCAGUCGGGCGUCGGAAAGAGUGGUGUAAAGUCCAAGCCCAUCGGUCACGUCUCGAAACACGGGCCAAGGA